Molecule: long non-coding RNA, 1571 nt
Filed under: Homo sapiens (human)
Lineage: Eukaryota; Metazoa; Chordata; Mammalia; Primates; Hominidae
Description: HSALNT0187183
Source: RNAcentral
CCCAUAUUUAAACUUUUUUCUCAUAGGAAAGCUACAGGAAUUUUAAGAUAUCACAUGGUUACAUUUGCUUUUCUUCCAGAUGGAGCUAAAUUGCUAUAUGAUACAGGGUUUAUUUUAUAUUUCUCAUAUUAAAGAUGAAAAAGUGAAAAUUGAGUAGUUGACUCAAAAUUAUAUGUAUAUAUAUAUAUAUGUUAACAGUUGAAUACAAACAAGAUUACAAGCAGUGAAACAUUCAAAUAGUUUUGGCAACUCCAAAUAUUUUGUGUUUCACAAAAGGAGUUAGGUUAACUUUUCCAAAUAUAACUCAUUUUAUACUAUUUUAAUAAGGAGAAACUUAAGGAUGAGAAGGCAUGAGGAAAAGUAUACAUUAGUGAAAGCUAUAUACUAAAGCAGACCUUCAACAACAGCUCAUAACUAAUAAAUGCUUUGUAUUUUGUUUUCAAGCAGUUAUGUAAAUCAAUUUGGUGAUUUCUUACACUGUACUUACAUUUACUUGACCCAAAUUGCCGUAUCAAUCACAUCUCCUAUCCCUUUUGCAGUUCCAGGUUGGAAUCAGUAUUUCAAAUAAAGUAGGGACACAUCUAAAAUAUUUGUGUAUCGGUAAAGGUGUUUCUGGCUAUUUAAACUCAAGCAUCCUUUGCCACAGUAGUAUCUCCGUUUUGCACGGUACUACUGUCUCUCAAACCAGUUACAUCUGAAAACCAGCAAUUACUAGUCUUAGUUAAUUACAAAAAAAAAAAAAAAUUAAGCGAUCUAGGCAGUGAGCAUUUUUCCAUACCUUUAUGUGGGCAUAUGAGAAUCAUUACUUCUUACUAUAGGCAGUUGCUUAUGUUCCCAGACAUUAUUAGAAUAGCAGUUCUAGAAGAGUAGCCAUGUGGAAAUUUACAAGUGAUUCUUGUAAACUUUGAAAAUUAUUGAUGUUUUUGGAAACUAGGCUGAUCUACUUUAAUUGUUUAUGUUUAUUGUAAGAUAACAUGCUCUUUGGGCAUUAUUAGACCAGUCUCUACCUUGAGAUACUAAGUUAAUUACAUGAGGUGUUAAAUGGAAGUAAUGAUGUUAGUUGAAAAUCGCAAGAAGUGUUUUUCUGAAUUGUGUGCCCAUUUGCCUUAACUUUUUCUAGUAUUAGUUGCCUCAGGCCGUGACUCUUCAACUCUGUAAUACUUGAUACUGUAUCAGGUAUCUUGUGGGUAGAGAAUAUAGGGAUUGCCAAAACUUUUGAAACAUAGGUACCUUUUCUUUGUACUUUCCAUCUUCUUUUCCCCUAAGUAGAAGGUUCUUUCCCAUUGCUUUGUUUAUAUUAGGCAUUCAAGUAAUUGCUAAUUGGUCUUGAUGUGAAAUAGUUAUAUGCUAGAGAUUUCCCUUCAUACAGAUACCUGUUUUUACUGCCUAAUCAUCACAAGAGAACUUUGUGUCAUUUAUCUGAUGCCACAAAUAGAAGACUACUCAUGUCAAAAUAGCCGUAUUAAUGGUGUUAGAAAAAGUGAAGCAUUAUGUAGCUAAAGGUUAAUUUAUAUUCAUCUGAUAGUUAUUCCUGUGAUGUGAUUUGGUGGAAAGAGUUCUUUGGAAGUUAU